RNAcentral lists this long non-coding RNA (440 nucleotides) under Zonotrichia albicollis (white-throated sparrow). Its description in RNAcentral is "lncRNA (ENSZALG00000002072.1)". The record is from RNAcentral. Lineage: Eukaryota; Metazoa; Chordata; Aves; Passeriformes; Passerellidae.
CGCCGGUUUUUUUUUUGGAAUUUUGUCCCUUUUUUGCACUCUGAUCCCGCCACAGCAUCCCACGAAGGGGACACGGGCAGCUCCUGUCCCAGGGUGGGGUGGGACACGGCAGGGGUGGGGAUUGUCCUGCCUUGGACAGGGGGAGAUCCCAAACUCGAUCCCAAAUCCGGGUCUGAAUUCCCUGGGAGGAGCUGCCUUACAGGGGAAUCAGACCCUUUUCCCAUAGGGAAAUCCUUCCAGGAGGAUCAGACCCUUUUUCCAUGGGGAAAUCUCAAUCCUGAAUCUGGAUCUGAACCCACCGAAAGGAGCAUCCUUCCAGAAGGAUCAGACCCUUUUUCCAUGGGGAAAUCCCAAUCCCAAAUCUGGAUCUGAACCCACUGAAAGGAGCUUCCCUACAGGGGGGAUCAGACCCUUUUUCCAUAGGGAAAUCCUUCCAGGAG